Long non-coding RNA from Numida meleagris (helmeted guineafowl), 5309 nucleotides. RefSeq lists it as uncharacterized. The record is from RefSeq and is a predicted model, not a curated record. NCBI's taxonomy places the organism in Eukaryota, Metazoa, Chordata, Aves, Galliformes, Numididae. The transcript has 3 exons.
AGCCCCGCCCCCGGGGCUGUGAGGGAGCGGUGGUGGCGGCCAAGUGAGGGGCGUGUCGGGGUUGCGUUUCCCCGGCCGCGCUCUGGUACCGACCCGGCUGCGGGACCGGCCUCGGCCCCGGCCCCGCUCCGCGACCCACGGUGGGAGGACUGACAGGCUCAGGGAGCAAGGGCCAGGAACUGGAUGGCGGUGAGGAGGCCUGAGGCGAGGGCCCAGCCUGCCCCUCCCCGGGCCUCCCUCAGCGGGCUUCGGCGCGGGCUUCGGCGCGGGUCGCCGCGUUGGGAGAAGUGAUGAGUCAGGUUUCCUCGGCUCCAUGCUAAUGCGCGGAGAUGGAGGGUGUAAUUAGGAGAGAGGCAGGGCUGUAAUCUGCAGCGCAGGGCAGCCGGGGCACGAACCUCCUCUGUGCAUCAGAGCAUGGCUGAAGUUUUCCUUGUUUGCGUGCUCUUCGAGUUGUAACGAUGUAUGUGCAGGGUUUAAUGGGAGCAGUGCCACAGACGUCAAAAGAUGUUUGUGCGUGAAACACCGUGCGUUAUGUAAUUCUGAUGUGGAAAGAUUACGGUAAGAAGGAUUUGUUUUAGUCAUGGAAACUGAAUAUUACGGCUCUCCAAAUCUCUAAGAAGACUUAGGAUGUUGCGCACAGCGUUUUCAAAAUUUCUCCUCUCAAAGUAAUUGCAAAUUGCCCGCUUGAGUGCUGUGAUCUGCUUUAUAUGCUUUCAUCCAUUAGAAUACCUCCUAUUUUCGCAAAACGAAGCAUUGUGUAAUUCAGGCAACUGGCCGGGCUAAAAAGGGCACAAUGAAGUUAGUAAUUUACGUCUCUUAGGGAGAUUAAUUGAACCCAGCUCUGGCCGUCUUCAAGAACUACUGAAAAGUCUCUCAGCAAACUUCUCCACCAAAAGUGAAACCACAGCCUCUGCCACCUUGCCCCUUCCAGCAGCUUCUGAUGGAAUCUUUUCCUGAGAUACAGCUGUCAUCAGCAGUGAGGAUGGCCACUCACCGGUCAUUUCAAUGCAGAAAGCACCCACACACAGCAACAGGCAACAGUACACAGCGCUCACAGAGAAACAAAUAUAAGAGGUUUUUAUUCCCCAAGCAGUACAGUAGAAAUGGCAUCUUAGUGUGAGAAAGCACUGCUUGCUGGAGUGUAGAUGUUUGCUGUGCCAUGUUUGCAUCCCACAUGCUGCAGUAUGGUGCUAUUAGCACUGAAGAAACAGUGGGAAGCCAGACAGGUUGGUUUCCAUCAACUAAUCUGAAUGUAAUGCUAAAAUGUAAGUAAACAACAUGAGUGAUGUAAACGGCUUUUUAUUUAUUGCUGAGCUCUAUGACAUUAUCUGAAAUGAGAAGCUUUAAAACAAGCAGUAGAGGAGCAGGGUUAUUAUAGCCACGAGCAGCAGAGUUGACUCUUUAACACAAGUAAGAUCCAUUGGAGUCGUAUGCUGUUGAAGGGCCUGGUUCAGAACUCAAACCUGUUGGUAAGGACAGUAGUAGGCAGGUUUGAAACACGAGUAAGAUAAUGGUUUUGACUGAGUUAACAGUUAACAUUGGAGUAUUGGCAAAUACUCAGAGUUCUUUUACAGCAUUCAUUUAUUUUAUUCUGACAGUGACAAGUACCUAUGACUGGACAUCCUCAGAAACAUGGUUGUGUCCUGUUCCUCUCCACUACAAUUAUUCCCACUCGGAGUGACUGCUUCAGGCCUUCAGCAAAGCCCAUUACAAAUGGGAACAUUUUCCAUUUGCCAAAUGUGAAUCCCGCAAACAAAUGCUGGCGAACCCAGGAUUUGGGGUCUGCACAACAGCUGUUGACUCACCAGGAUUUUGUCACUUCCCUGAAGAUGUUGCUGGCUGUUGGCUUCAGCUCUCAGGUUGUCAGUGCAAGCAGGCUUUUCUCAGAAGGUACCCACAAGAAGCAAUUAGAUGUGUGAGCAGAGGCAGUCAGCACAUGGGAUCCUCCCAGCAAAACAUGCUCAGCGCUGAAGGCUUGUCUGCAUGGCAUGCUGCUGCUUUCAUCGAACACCAGCAAAAUGCCAGGAACAUUCCUGGACAGGAGAAAUCUCAAAUUCUGUAAUUCAGCCUUAAAGAAACACUCCUCUGGGUAAAGAAACACUCCUCUGGGGAACUGCCUGACUGCCUGAUGGAAAUGAAAACUCUGACCUAUUUCAGCCCAGCUUUGCAGAAGGCACAAGCUCUAUUUAUGCUGCUGCAGGAGGGGAAAGGCAGGGUGCAAGCAAUGCACCUUGCUCUGCUUGGAAAGCCCCAGCAGCCCCAGCUCCAGCACUGGAGCCCCGCAUCAGGAGAUGGUGGGACCUGGCUCCUUUUGGGGCAGUUAAAGGAGUAACAACAUCACAUCUGACUGAACCUCGGGCACGCAGAUCUGGCUACUUACUCUUGCUGCAGAAGCAUUUAUAUUGACAGAGAUUCAGGAAGAUGCUGGGCAGAAGCUUCAGGGAAACAACUUUUUUAUAAGCAGAGCGAUGCCUUCGUACAGCACAGGAGUGUGAUCUGAGAUAGAAAAUACAACAGGACUGUAUUUCCACAGCAAGGUCAUGUCUUAAGAAUUUUACUCGUCCUCAUUUCUAUUAAUGUGUCUUUUUACAGGGAGAAAUACCUUAUUUUAGUUAUGCUGUAUAGCUCUUGAAACUUAACCUUCCUCUAGCUGGGCUCUAUAAAUCACAGAUUUUCUUAUAAACAGACUACAGAUCCACUUACAUCUUUGUAUUAUUUGGCUCUUUUAUUUCAGAAACAGAAUAGGCCAAAUUCUUCCCUGGCAUAGCUCCAUCCCCAGUAUUCUUAUUUUGAGGAUGCUGGGCCAGAUUCCUGAUCUCUCUUGCUUUGUCAGUGGGCACUCAGAGUCAUGCUGCUACGAUCACUGCUGUCAUAUAUCAGUAACACCACCCUGCUGCUGGGCCCUCUGCUUAAACAGCACUUUGAUCAAGUGAAAUAAGGAAAAUAUUGCUGAAUGUAGCCUUCAGCAUAUUACUUGUUCUGCUGAAAGAUCAUCUGCUCUUGGCUUAGCUUAUUUCAAGCAUGAUGGUCCAGGAAAGAGUGUACCUGUGAGUGAAAUAAGACUCAAUGGGAGUCAAUAAGAACCAAAGUAUUGCGGUAUUAAUAAAUGUGUAUUUGUGCUGAAGCAUGCUAAACCUCAAAGGCUGGAUAUAAAUAUCAAUGUCUAUUGAAUUGCAGGAAGAGAUGGCUGGUGGAAAGCAUGCCUAAUGCCGUUCUGCAAUGUGCAACCCUGUUUACACAGGGGCUAUUCAUAGGCACGUUCCUGUUGCUGGACAGGGAAUUUGCUUCUUCUCAGCCAGCUCAUGCAAAGCAAAUUUUCCCCCAGAGUUCUCAGGCAGAAGAUUUAACUUCCCUUGAAGUAAAGCAAUGUGCUGUGCUGCCAUGCAGGUGAUGGGCCAGCUGAAGGUGCGGGACAAGGAGCUGCCCAAAACCUGCCAAAGGACGAAGGCAGCUUCAUAAAAGCAGAGGUUGUAAUGGCACUCAUGUCUCCUUGUGAUCAAAUGCAGGCUGCACUUCUUUAGUCAGAAAAUGUGCCACAGUUGGAAUCUGGUAAAAUGAAUUCUGAGCACGUCCCUUCUGCAGUCAGCUUUCCUUCUGCCCACCGGGACAAUGGAGAGAUGACGUGGUUCAGAAAUAAACCCACAGCUCGGAUUUGUGAUUCUGUCAGAGUGGGUUCUCCUUUCCCGCUCCUGGAAUUGCUCUGGAGGUCCUUCAGCUUUAUGAAGCUGUAAUGGACAAGGUGAGCACUGGGGAAUUAACCCCCACCUGCCUCCUGCUAUUCCCUUUCAGGGCUUUCUGGACCAGUGCUUCCUGGAGCAAGUGAGGUCUGUUCUUGAAAGGUGCUGAGUGGUGAAAACAAAAGUCCAGAAAGAGGAGUUAUCUUGGGAGUUAUCAAGAACAGUGCCUACUACUUGAUAAGCUGCAGAGAAAGUAAAGCCUGAAAAUGCCCAAAUUGAGAACAAAGCUGAUGUGCCUACUGAGUGCCUGAUAAUAGCACCAAUGGGAAGAGCUCAGCAUGGCAUAUCUGGAGUUAUCUGAGUGACUGAUGAAGAUAAAUUAUGUUCUGCUCACCAGAAAGGCAGUGUGAUAGUUCUGAGGUGAUCUCAUUUUCUUCUGCUGUCAUCACUUUCCUGCGGUUCACACUGGGGUGAUUAGCCAAUGCAGGAUCUCUUAGGAGAGGUAAAAGUCCUGCUGGGAUGUCGGCCGUCUCAUUAGCGACCAGUCUCAUUAGCUCAGGGAAAAAGCUGUAUGGGGUUUUCCCCUCGGCACCUGCGUUACAUCCAUCCCUGAAAGCUAUCAAAAGAGGAGAACGCUGUUUGCUGUGGGUAACUGAGGGACGGGCACGGCCUCUGCUGGAGCUUGAUGCCUGCAUUUGCAGGAGCUUGGACUGAUGCACGGCACAGGACAGCUGGAGCUUGUCACUGAUCACUGCGAAAUUGCCAGGGGCACUGCACCUGCGGACAGGCAUCUGGGUGCAAAGCUCACGCUCGCACCUGAGCACAACCAUGGUGCUGCAAGAGGCUGCAUGCAUUGCAGCUGCACCGUGACAGAACAGAUUCAUAGAAUGGCUUUUGUCCAAACAUGCUUACUCCAUGCAGGUAUUAAGCACAUGUGGCAGGCUUGCAAUUUUGCCACUCAAAGUGUUGCAGAAGUGCUAACACACUUGGCUCUUCAUCUUUCAGGAGGAUGAUAGGAGCAUGUGCUGCGGGCCCCUUGCACUGCUGAAGGCUCUGGCAAAUAAACAGUUUCCUAAAAGCUCUUCACAGCUGCUGGCUGAAGCUAGGUGGAUGUUCGUGGUGUAAUAAGAACCAAAUGUGAUGUGCAUGUAGCAGAGUAUCCUGAGCAGCAUUGAGAAACUUGCAUGAGCUACUGCAUAAUUAUACAUGGGAGAAGAAAAAUCUAUGAAUAGUUGUAUUUAACAUCAUUCUUUGCACUUCUGUUAAUGUCUCUUGCCAAUGAAGAGCGUGAAGACUUGCAGUCUGGAGCGGCUAGAGGCCCUUCCCUUAGAGUAUAAAAGGAAAAAAGGAGAAAACCAGGAGACCUUGCAGAGGUGAGGUCAGAUGACACCACAACCAAAGCUGCGCAUCACAGUGAGUGGGAUCACUGCAACGUAUCUGAAUGAGAGGCCCCAGCUGGAGUACUGAGUCCAGGUCUGGUGCCCCCAAUACAGGACAGACGUGGAGCUGUUGCAGAGGGUCCAGAGGAGGGCCACGAAGAUGAUGAGAGGGCUAGAGCACCUCUCCUAUGAAGACAGGCUGAAGUAACUGGGCUUGUUCAGCCUGGAAAAGAGAAGGCUGUGGGGAGACCUC